This is a long non-coding RNA of Bos indicus x Bos taurus (hybrid cattle), 338 nucleotides long. The record is from Ensembl. NCBI's taxonomy places the organism in Eukaryota, Metazoa, Chordata, Mammalia, Artiodactyla, Bovidae.
AUGAGGCAGGUGUCCUUUUUGACUAAAUCACCAAAUAAGGCAGUUUUGGGGCUUGUUUCCUUUGCAGAUGUCUUGAAUAUUAUUCUCCAUCUUCCUGCUGUACCAAAUAGUGAGAACAAUAGAAAAAUAUACCUCUUUUUCAAUGAGGUAUAUUUGUUGGCCUUUACAAGACCCAUUCAUGGCUGUCUCCAUAGCAGAGUCCAAAGAGCACCUUGGUAUGUGUGGGAGUGUGAUCCAGCCAAGCCCUUUGGAGGCACCUUUGGAGGCAUAGUGUCAGAUGGUCUAAAAGAAAACAGAAAACGUCAGCUGUAUUCAUGGAGACAAUGACCAAGCAUGAG